Molecule: long non-coding RNA, 3802 nt
Organism: Lineus longissimus
Lineage: Eukaryota; Metazoa; Nemertea; Pilidiophora; Heteronemertea; Lineidae
Exons: 2
Source: RefSeq, a predicted model, not a curated record
AUGUAAUCAAGAGUUAGGACAAUCUUUGUCUUGGCAGGAUAGAUCAAAAUUACUACACGCCCGUUGAAGACACUGCAGUCAGCGAAUCAUCCACCGCCUGAAACAUCGCCAACGCCAUAUUUUAAUUCACCGCCCUGAGCGUCGACGUACAAAGAUCUCGAGUCCCCGGCGCCGUCAGAAAGUGAUGAUCGUUCGCUAAUAAAAGAUGGUUCAAGCGAUGCAGUGAUAUUUCGAAAAAUUUACAGGAGGUUGCUAGGAUGCUAUGUGGUAUCACCUGUGGUUUUGGGCAAGUGGCAGGUCGCCAGGAUUAAAGGCCAGUCAAUCAAAUUUCAACCCAAUGAAGACCGGAAUAUCAUUGCGCAUGAUGGGACAGGGCUGGUGACCCUGAAAUCGAUCUUAAUUCUUCGGGCGAAUCCACUGGUUAGGACCAGCGUGGAGAGUUGACUGCAUGGAAGGGAACAGCACAGCCUUCGCGCCAUGAAAUAUACAGUGUCCGUCAUGCUGAGAUCACCGACAUAGAUUGAUACAAACCCAGCUUCGUUGUGUUUAAUUUACCAUCCGAGUGUUGUUCACUUGACAAAUAUCAAAUUAUCCAUUGAUUGAGAGCAAUUGUAGCUCCCUUACUUUCAAAAAAUACUUCUGGGGGAAUUAAAAAACAGAGAUCCUGAUGGUUGUAGAUGGAUGCAACACUUCCAUUUCAAUGUUAUUGUUAAAAAAACGUGGAUGACGAAAUCAGGGCCAAAUUAAUGAUAACCAAUAUAGCAUCACACAUCCUUAUAAUUCUGCAGCAAACAGAAAUUGUCCGACCCUCCUAUACAGUUAUAGAUAAAAAAGUAGUAAUAGUUAAAGAUAAAAAAGGGACGUUUCACUGCAGCAGGCAUGCUUCAACGUAAUCGUAUAUAUAGUUCAUUAAUAAGGUAUGGUAUGCCAGGAAAAUGCUUCAUCAAUUAACAGUCGAAACAUGCUAGAAAAUGUUAACAUGAUUCAUACAUAACACAUGUAGACUAGUAUUGAUCUUGGCAAGCAACCAGCUGGUCACAUUCUGAAACUGUUUCGAACGGUACGUGUGUGAAUUUCGUCGUGUUUAACAUGUUCAUGAUCAACGAAUGCGGCGAAUAGUGACACAACGACAGCUGUAUAGCUCAGUGCAGUAAGGAAUUCGAUUUACCGAUGUGCAAAAAGGGAGAGUGUGAUGUUUUCAACACGAAACCAUGAACUUGUUGUUUGAAUACGUCUGGAAUACGUGCUGAGUUAUACCCUCUGUGCUUGUUUCUCAUGGAAUUGUGUGCAAUUCACCAUAUCGAACACUGUGUCCCCAUUACACGUACACUAGCGCUGAUGUACAGUUGUUAAGGGAUGUAUGCAUGGUGUAAUUGGUUCUGAUCUGGCUUUCUGCGGUUGUCGCUACUGUACCGGUCGUAUUAUCAACGUUUCUUUGGAAUAGUUGCUGAUUAAUGUAUUCUGUGCUGGAUUGCGAUCAUCAACUAAUACAUGGAGUUCAAACCAAUGUGCGGCUAAUCAAGGAAGCAAGCCAAACGUUAUACGUUGCCUUCAUGUUUCUGGAUUCUUCCCCGACUAUAUGCGGGGACCGAACGCUGCAGUUCUACUUAGGUUUUACACUUGGCUUAUCACACGUUGCUUGUGAACGGUGCUCAUAACAAUUCAUCAAAAUGUAUCCUAAUAUACACUGCCACCGGACUAGUAAAAUGAGGUUUUUGCCUCGAGAAAAGCGCCCUCUAUUCAUUAUAGUGGUGAUCAUAAUAAUUGUGGAAGUGUUUGUACUGGCGCGGACAUUGAACCAUGAACACAAGCGAUUUCCCGCAAAAACAUUUGAUAUGAUGUUCAAAGAUAUCAAGAAGCGAAUCGCUGGAAGAGGAAAUGCUUGGUCGUCAUGACAACAGGCCGGGAAUAUGCAGCCAUUGAUACGAACUAUUUGCUCAUUGAUUUGUUUUGUCAUACAAUAACCACUAGGUUGUUUUUCAACUUCAAAUAUAAGAUCAUUCCUCUAAAAACCUUGGCCUCAAGAGUCUGACAAAGGUAUCGUGUGAAAAGGGUUGUUGUGGCACAGUCAGUUUUGUCAUUCAUCUGGUAGAUUUUGUUAAUAUGAUUGAUAUUAGGGUCAUGGGCUGUGCCUCUGAAGUUCAAUCCAAACAGAAUACUGAAUAUUGGGGGAGUCAAUUACAUGUACUUUUUAAAACAAUAGUGGCACAUAAACCGUUACGUUGUCAUAUAGUUUUAUUACAAAGUCUGGUUCCCCGUAUCCUUCUGCGUCAUUGAGCAGUAGGCAGGUUUUGCAACCCUCAAUGAAAACUACGAACGAACGACUUUCGUUAAACAUUUUCCUGAGUCCCAGCUCGCUCAAUGAAAAGUAUCUUAUGAUAAGGUGAAUUUGCGGCACAAGACUUGAUUAUCAUACGACACACCUUCAAAAAUAGUACUUCGCGUUAAAAGUGGUUUGCCUGCCUAGCUUGCAGACGAAACAUCGAGACGCGAUGGCGAUAGAUUUUCUCUUAUAUAUGUGAGAGUGUCCUUUUGAUCAUUCGUCAAAUGAAGACCCAGGUGCCGAUCUUAGAGUUCAAUAGUGACGGCAAUUCUCUUUUUUUAACGAGUCCCGAAAAUGUAUUUGGCGUGAAGUGCUUUUGAUAUAAAAACUGGGGCCUGAUGCACAAAGUACACUUAGCAGGCUACGCACCCGUAAGCGUCACUUAUUGUCUACGUAAGCAUGUAGUUGCGUGGUAUUCACAGAGUACACGCAAAACUACGUUAAUAGUAUUAAGCGUUAUGUUAUGUUCACGUGUGGUCGGUGGGUACGCGCAGCGCACACUUAGUUUCGAGGACGACUCGGAUGGCAGCUGCACUAGUUAUUAUAGAGGAAGAAAAUCAACGGGCGUUACGUCGCGAACGCAUUUUUUCGUGAUCGCGUGCAUCCCCUUGAUACUUUUGAGGAUGCCACGUCCAGUUCUUUUAGAAGUAAUGGACCUACUGAAGGCCGAUGUGUUACACCCAGCAAUGGGAUCCCAAGCAGUCCCGAGCGCUUUGCAAGGACUCACGGCACAGGGAGUGUCAAAGGGUUAAUGCUGUAAUUAGCAAUUUUGGUGGAAAGCAAGGCGGUUGCCCAAUGUCCUUUCCCAUGAUCUUUUAUUCAAUCUAAAUGCCAUCCCUUAGUGGUGCAAACAAGUUUUAUCUUGGUUCAGGCAAUUUGCCCUUGCUCGCUCAUGCGUGAAAAGCUAGGUGUGAUAUUUUGUACUGAUAUGCAUGAAACCCCUACCUACCAAUAUCCAUCGAAAAUAUUUUCCAAAAAUAUAAAGUGCUAAUUUUGGGGUAAUUUAUCAAACUGUAUACUUUUUUGAUACACCCUGUAUAGCCAGGCGGCACCUAUUUCUAUUAAGUGUGAUUACCCGGCAUACAGCAACGCCACCCCAUAGUUUACAAAAUCAUGUAAGGUCGGCCGGAGAAAUGUUCACCUAACCUUAUGUGUAAUCUUAUGAUAGUGAAAACGUUCCGUUAUGGCUAGGAGUGCUCAAAGACAGCUUUGUGAAUAAAUCUUAGCGUAAUCUUAUCUUCCUCGUAAACGUAGCGUAAGUGCACGCUAAGUGUAAUAUUUUACGGGUGCUUCGUGAAUCCGGCUCCAGGCCUUUGUUGGGUCACCCCUUUUCUCCGUUUUUCUCAUUUACAUCGAUAAUCAUCGUUUAUGUAGUUGUAGAAAUUGUCUAUGUAGUCAUAGGUUGAUCCCCACCGAUAAUACGAAAUUGUAUUUGCAGAAUGUCUCAACAUUUGUAAUAAACUGCGUUUAAUGAAUUUA